CCUACGGGUGGCUGCAGUGAGGAAUAUUGGGCAAUGGGCGCGAGCCUGAACCAGCCAAGUCGCGUGAGGGAUGACGGUCCUACGGAUUAUAAACCUCUUUUGCCGGGGAGCAAGCGUGCGUUCGUGAACGCGCGUCGAGAGUACCCGGAGAAAAAGCAUCGGCUAACUCCGUGCCAGCAGCCGCGGUAAUCAGGAGGAUGCGAGCGUUAUCGGGAUUUAUUGGGUGAAAGGGGUGCGUAGGCGGGAUGCCAAGUCAGCGGUAAAAAUGCGGUGCUCAACGCGGUCGAGCCGUUGAAACUGGCGUUCUUGAGUGGGCGAGAGGUAUGCGGAAUGCGGGGUGUAGGGGUGAAAUGCAUAGAUAUCACGAAGAACUCCGAUUGCGAAGGCAGCAUACCGGCGCCCUACUGACGCUGAGGCACGAAAGCGUGGGUAUCGAACAGGAUUAGAUACCCCGGUAGUC
Molecule: ribosomal RNA, 460 nt
Filed under: uncultured bacterium
Lineage: Bacteria
Description: partial 16S ribosomal RNA
Rfam family: Bacterial small subunit ribosomal RNA
Source: RNAcentral